Molecule: ribosomal RNA, 442 nt
Filed under: uncultured bacterium
Lineage: Bacteria
Description: bacterial SSU rRNA
Rfam family: Bacterial small subunit ribosomal RNA
Source: RNAcentral
GCGGACGGGUGAGUAACGCGUGGGUAACCUGCCUUAUACUGGGGGAUAACAGCCAGAAAUGACUGCUAAUACCGCAUAAGCGCACAGGACCGCAUGGUUCGGUGUGAAAAACUCCGGUGGUAUAAGAUGGACCCGCGUUGGAUUAGCUAGUUGGCAGGGCAGCGGCCUACCAAGGCGACGAUCCAUAGCCGGCCUGAGAGGGUGAACGGCCACAUUGGGACUGAGACACGGCCCAGACUCCUACGGGAGGCAGCAUUGGGGAAUAUUGCGCAAUGGGGGAAACCCUGAUGCAGCGACGCCGCGUGAAGGAAGAAGUAUCUCGGUAUGUAAACUUCUAUCAGCAGGGAAGAUAAUGACGGUACCUGACUAAGAAGCCCCGGCUAACUACGUGCCAGCAGCCGCGGUAAUACGUAGGGGGCAAGCGUUAUCCGGAUUUACUGGG